RNAcentral lists this ribosomal RNA (505 nucleotides) under uncultured bacterium. RNAcentral describes it as "partial 16S ribosomal RNA". It matches the Rfam family "Bacterial small subunit ribosomal RNA", at positions 28 to 507 of the family's 1533-position model. The record is from RNAcentral.
GACGAACGCUGGCGGCGUGCCUAAUACAUGCAAGUAGAACGCACAGUUUAUACCGUAGCUUGCUACACCAUAAACUGUGAGUUGCGAACGGGUGAUUAACGCGUAGGUAACCUGCCUGGUAGCGGGUGGUAACUAUUGGAAACGAUAGCUAAUACCGCAUAAUAUUCAUUAUUGCAUGAUAAUUGAUUGAAAGAUGCAAUUGCAUCACUACCAGAUGGACCUGCUUUGUAUUUGCUAGUAGGUGAGGUAACGGAUCACCUAGGCGACGAUACAUAUCCGAACUGAGAGGGGGAUCGGCCAAACUUGGACUGGGACAAGGCCCAGAAUCCUACGGGAGGCAGCAGGAGGGAAUCUUUGGCAAAGGACGAAAGGCUGAACGAGCAACGCCGCGGGAGGGGAGAAGGGUUUCGGAUCGGAAAGCUCUGUUGUAAGGGAAGAAAGGGUGUGAGAGUGGAAAGUUCACACUGUGACGGUAUCUUACCAGAAAGGGACGGCUAACUACGUG